This 784-nucleotide long non-coding RNA is filed under the name Capsicum annuum. RNAcentral's name for it is "long non-coding RNA (CANN_LNC021639)". Lineage: Eukaryota; Viridiplantae; Streptophyta; Magnoliopsida; Solanales; Solanaceae. The record is from RNAcentral.
CUUGUGGAUGUUAUUGUGUUAUGGUAUGAGAAGGGAGGUCUUCUAUUUAUAGAUGUCAAAAAUCUUACCUCUAAGAAAGAGGUUAGCCAAAUAUAAAAAAGAAUUAUAUUUUUUUCUUUCAGGAAAAGUAAAAGUAAUUAUGGUAACUUUUAUUUUCCUUCUAAGAAAAAAUAAAACUUAAAUAUAGUAAGAAAAUCAGAGCAAAAACCCUAACAAAUCUCCUCUUUUUGGCUUGAUUUUCUUCACUUGAUCCACCUUCUUCUUGUGCAUGAUCUUCGUUCUUCAUAUAUAUUCUUCAUAUAUCACUGCUGUUUGACAUGCUUUAAAAAUUGAGCUUUUGGGUUAAAAGUAUAUGAGCCUUUUUGGGGUUAAAAAUAUUGGAGCCCUUUUGCAGGAUUAAAAGUGAGCUUUAUUUUCAAAUAUGUGACAGCAGGAUUGUUGAAAAUAUGAUUAACAAUUAUCUCCACAUAUAGCUUUUAGACAUAUAUCUUGAUUAUCAUCAAAUUUAUUGCAACUUUGUUCAACAAUUGGACCAUCAAUUUAUUAAAUCGUGGGCUCUGAUACCACUCGUUGGGUUCGAAAUCGAGAGGACGUCAUGCGGAAACUAUUAGUUGCAAACUAUCGUAGUGAUAAUUCAAACGACAAAGAUAACAUACUAAAAAACAUAUUAUUGAUGUAAUUUGAUCAAGUGACCUACAUAUUGAAAACUAAUAUCAAAAAACAUUAAAAACUAUUGGGAGAAAAUCUCCCCUAAACGAGACUCUUUAAACGACUACAUUGUGGA